UACAGAGGUCUCAAGCGUUGUUCGGAUUCAUUGGGCGUAAAGGGUGCGUAGGUGGCGCCGUAAGUCAGGUGUGAAAUUUCGGAGCUUAACUCCGAAACUGCAUUUGAUACUGCGGUGCUUGAGGACUGGAGAGGAGACUGGAAUUUACGGUGUAGCAGUGAAAUGCGUAGAGAUCGUAAGGAAGACCAGUGGCGAAGGCGGGUCCCUGGACAGUUCCUGACACUGAGGCACGAAGGCCAGGGGAGCAAACGGG
RNAcentral lists this ribosomal RNA (253 nucleotides) under uncultured bacterium. RNAcentral's name for it is "partial 16S ribosomal RNA". It matches the Rfam family "Bacterial small subunit ribosomal RNA", at positions 524 to 776 of the family's 1533-position model. The record is from RNAcentral.